GACAGAGGGUGCAAACGUUGUUCGGAAUUACUGGGCGUAAAGCGUGUGUAGGCGGCCAGGCAAGUCGGAUGUGAAAGCCCCAGGCUCAACCUGGGAAGUGCACCCGAAACUGCUUGGCUUGAGUAUCGGAGAGGUUGGUGGAAUUCUCGGUGUAGAGGUGAAAUUCGUAGAUAUCGAGAGGAACACCGGUGGCGAAGGCGGCCAACGUGGACGGAAUACUGACGCUGAGACACGAAAAGCGUGGGGGAGCAAACAGG
This 257-nucleotide ribosomal RNA is filed under the name uncultured bacterium. Its description in RNAcentral is "partial 16S ribosomal RNA". It matches the Rfam family "Bacterial small subunit ribosomal RNA", at positions 524 to 776 of the family's 1533-position model. The record is from RNAcentral.